This 73-nucleotide transfer RNA is filed under the name Paramuricea clavata. It matches the Rfam family "tRNA". Rfam says of the family: Transfer RNA (tRNA) molecules are approximately 80 nucleotides in length. Their secondary structure includes four short double-helical elements and three loops (D, anti-codon, and T loops). Lineage: Eukaryota; Metazoa; Cnidaria; Anthozoa; Malacalcyonacea; Plexauridae. The record is from Rfam by way of RNAcentral.
GCCUCUGUAGCUCAGUUGGUUAGAGCGCUGCACCGGAAUCGCUGGCCCGUAGGUUCAAUUCCUACCAGAGGAC